This 138-nucleotide small nuclear RNA is filed under the name Otolemur garnettii (small-eared galago). Its description in RNAcentral is "U2 spliceosomal RNA (ENSOGAG00000023553.1)". The stretch from base 1 to 109 matches the Rfam family "U2 spliceosomal RNA". Rfam says of the family: U2 is a small nuclear RNA (snRNA) component of the spliceosome (involved in pre-mRNA splicing). The record is from RNAcentral. Lineage: Eukaryota; Metazoa; Chordata; Mammalia; Primates; Galagidae.
AAAUCUCAGCCUUUUGGCUAAGAUCAAGCACAGUAUCUGUUCUGACCAGUUUAAUAAAUGCAUUCACUUCUAGUAAAAUUAAAAGGGUAACAACAGAGAGUAAUCCUAUACACUUGUGAGAUUACUUCUAGAUUUCCA